This 380-nucleotide ribosomal RNA is filed under the name uncultured eukaryote. Its description in RNAcentral is "partial 18S ribosomal RNA". It matches the Rfam family "Eukaryotic small subunit ribosomal RNA", at positions 592 to 976 of the family's 1831-position model. The record is from RNAcentral.
CAAUAGCGUAUAUUAAAGUUGUUGCAGUUAGAACGCUCGUAGUCGGAUUUCGGGGCGUUCCGACCGGUCCGCCGAUGGGUAUGCACUGGCCGGAGUGUCCUUUUUGCCGGAGACCGUGCCUACUCUUAACUGAGCGGGGGCGGGAGACGGCACUUUUACUUUGAAAAAAUCAGAGUGUUUCAAGCAGGCAGCUCGCUCUUGCAUGGAUUAGCAUGGGAUAAUGAAAUAGGACUUUGGUGCUAUUUUGUUGGUUUCGAACACCGAAGUAAUGAUGAGAAGGGACAGUCAGGGGCACUCGUAUUCCGCAGAGAGAGGUGAAAUUCUCAGACCCGCGGAAGACGAACCACUGCGAAAGCAUUUGCCAGGGAUGUUUUCACUGA